This 497-nucleotide ribosomal RNA is filed under the name uncultured bacterium. RNAcentral describes it as "partial 16S ribosomal RNA". It matches the Rfam family "Bacterial small subunit ribosomal RNA", at positions 38 to 507 of the family's 1533-position model. The record is from RNAcentral.
GAAGAAAGAGGGAGGGGGGAAGAAUACAUGUAAGUAGAACGCUGAAGAGAGGAGCUUGUUAUUUUUGGAUGAGUUGGGAAAGGGUGAGUAAAGCGUAGGUAAUAUGUUUCGUAGUGGGGGAUAAAUAUUGGAAAAGAUAGCUAAUACCGCAUAACAAUGGAUGACACAUGUCAUUUAUUUGAAAGGGGCAAUUGCUCCACUACAAGAUGGACCUGCGUUGUAUUAGCUAGUAGGUGAGGUAAUGGCUCACUGAGGGGAUGAGACAUAGGCGACCUGAGAGGGUGGUCGGCCAAACUGGGACUGAGACACGGCCCAGACUCCUACGGGAGGCAGCAAUAGGGAAUCUUCGGCAAUGGGGGCAACCCUGACCGAGCAACGCCGCGGGAGUGAAGAAGGUUUUCGGAUCGUAAAGCUCGGUUGUAAAUCAAAAACGGGUGUGAGAGUGGAAAGUUCACACUGUGACGGUAGCUUACCAGAAAGGGCCGGCUCCCUACGUU